This 71-nucleotide transfer RNA is filed under the name Loxodonta africana (African savanna elephant). It matches the Rfam family "tRNA". Rfam says of the family: Transfer RNA (tRNA) molecules are approximately 80 nucleotides in length. Their secondary structure includes four short double-helical elements and three loops (D, anti-codon, and T loops). Lineage: Eukaryota; Metazoa; Chordata; Mammalia; Proboscidea; Elephantidae. The record is from Rfam by way of RNAcentral.
CCAGUGGUGGUUCAAUGGUAGAGCCAUUGCCUUCCACGCAGGAGACCUGGGUCCGGUUCCCAGCUAAUGUA